Long non-coding RNA from Carya illinoinensis, 1334 nucleotides. RefSeq lists it as uncharacterized. The record is from RefSeq and is a predicted model, not a curated record. NCBI's taxonomy places the organism in Eukaryota, Viridiplantae, Streptophyta, Magnoliopsida, Fagales, Juglandaceae. The transcript is spliced from 2 exons.
AAGUAUCUCAAAUUUGAAUGAAUUGACUGUUCAAGAUUGCACAAGAUUAGUUGAGGUGCAUGAUUCCGUUGGAUAUUUGGAAAAUCUUUCUUGCUUGUAUUUUGAUAGAUGCUUUAAACUCCGAAUUCUUCCAAGAAGCCUGAAGUCGAGAUCUUUAUGCAAUCUUUAUUUUGAUAAUUGCCCAAGCCUUCGUUAUCUUCCUGAAAUCGAGUGUAAAAUGAAAUUUGUAGAUGCAUUGUGGUUAUCUGGCAUCGCAAUAGAAGAACUACCUUUAUCCAUCGGGAACCUCGUUGGACUCCGGUGUUUAUAUCUACAUGAUUGCAAAAACCUUAUGCGUUUCCCAAUUGCUUGCAUUUGGUUGCCACAUUUAAACUAUCUACACAUUCGAGGUCGUCAAAAACUUGUAAAGAAGAUGAGGGAUGAUGGGCUAUCCCAUCUGGCUAUUGAGUCUACAAAAAUGGAAGAGGAGAUAUCAUUACGUGAAGAAUGACUCCAUGAAUUAGGGCCUCCAACGAAUCCAAGCAAUGGGAGCACUGCAUUGUGUUGAAUUUCUUUCCAAUAUCUAGUUUAUUUACCAUGUUUAAAUACUCCACCAGUUUGGAUCAUUUAGAUCUAUCGAUGACUGAAAUUGUUAGCCUUCCCACGAGCAUCAAAGAAUUCGUUACACUAACUGAACUUUGGCUGGAGUAUUGUGAGAAACUUUAAGAAAUACUAGAGCUUCCAUCAAAUAUAAGAGAAGUACAUGUUGAAGGAUGCGAGUCAUUAGAGAGAUUUCUGGAAGUAUCAAAAAUAUUGUAAUUCAAUGGAAGCCAUAUCAGUUCGCUACAUUGGAUUGAUUUGUCCUAUUGCGUCAAAAUGCAUGUGAAUAUAUGGAAUGAUAAAGUGCAAAAUCCUUUAUUGUGAAAGGGAGUCUGAAUAUGAUGCUUCUUUGUUUCCAGAAAAUCAGAUUCCAUAGUGGUUUAGUUAUAUUCAUGAGUUUUUAAAAGAUAAUGAAAUGGUGAAGGGGCCUAAUAAUUAUGUCAAACCGAGGGGAGAAGAAGAGUGGGCAAUAGAUAUCAAGGGGCCGCACUAUUUGGAGGAGAUAAACGGAAUUGCAUUAUAUCUCCUAAUAUUUUUUAAAGGUGCUUACCGGGGGAUGAGACGUACAACUGUUGAUGUUAAGAUAACCAGUAACAGCUCAAAUCAUGCAUGCCUUACUGAAGGGGUAGAAUUGGUUUAUAAAGAUUGGUUCGGCAAGGGAAAUGGGACUGGAUAUGUUGUAUGGGUGGGGCACUCCAAUUUACAAUCUUUUAAACUACCGGUUUUGGACAAUUUGCAAGUUCAAUUUGAUCUUC